GAAAGCACUGAACUGAAAGGCAGUCGGCGGGGCUGCGGCGGGCGGUCAUUUCCUUCCUGGGCCGCCGGUCAUCUUCCACGAUGUUGCUGUGCUGACGGAUAAGCUCUUCCCCAUCGUGGAGGCCAUGCAGAAGCACUUCAGUGCUGGCUUGGGAACCUACUACAGUGACUCCAUCUUCUUCCUCUCGGUCGCCAUGCAUCAGAUCAUGCCCAAAGAGUGUACACCUCUUGUACAAGGUAGAACAUCUUGCACAUAACAGAAGGCCUGUCUGUCGGUCCCACUUUCCAAGAACCAGACCUUCUGGCACUGGCCACAACAGAUGGAAGCCAAUUUUUCAGAGACCCAAAGGACAGACCAAUCGUAGCCUGAAUCCCAAGAGUUCAGUGGGAGACACACUGUAUUCGUCUGUUCUCACACCGCUACGAAGAAAUACCCGAGACUGGGGCUACAGAGCCAGGAAGAGGAGCAUAGAAAGAAAAAGGAACAGGAAAUUGUUCAAAAGAAGUUCAUGAAAUGAGAAAAGCAGCAGGAAACAGCUCGGGAAUCGGCGAGGCUGCAGCCGAAG
This 565-nucleotide long non-coding RNA is filed under the name Homo sapiens (human). RNAcentral's name for it is "non-protein coding lnc-ACAP2-4:1". Lineage: Eukaryota; Metazoa; Chordata; Mammalia; Primates; Hominidae. The record is from RNAcentral.